CAGGCAAAUUUGACGGCUGGCGCUGCAGGUUGACUAGGAGUAGCCCCAUGGAUUUAACAGAGGCGGCGCUGUGUCGGGAUAGCUGGGCGGUGGGCAUGUGCAGAAUCAGAACUGUAGCGUCGGAAGGGAUCCCGAGGGUCAUCUAUUCCAACCCCCUGCAAUGCAGGAAUCUUUUGCCCAGCGUGGGGCUCGAAACCACGGCCCUGCGAUUAAGAGUCUCAUGCUCUAAUGACUGAGUUAUCCAAAGGGAAGCAGAACAUCAGGAUCCACCAGCCAGAACAAGCUGGGUUUCUGGGGGCCAUUACGGUCAAUUACACAUAUGUUCCCGCCGCCCUGUGUCUUUUGUCUAUGGAGUAAUGACGCAACCCAACCUGUGCCUUCCCCCUCUAUAAAUCCUGGGUCCCCUACUUUGUGGGGAAUCAGACAUCCAGCGGCUCCUGACAGGUUUCAAGAUGAUGUGGAGGUCUCAAUCCGUGCUCUGUGCUUCUUUGCUCCUCUGUGGGCUACUCGGGGAAUGCUGUGGAACCGUUCUGGUGCCCAAGGACAAACGUGGCUGGACCCUGAACAGCGCUGGAUACCUCUUGGGACAUCAUGCUCACCAGACACUGUCCAACAAAGGGAGCCUGGCGCAUAAGCGAGAUGCUACAGAGGACUUGUAUUCCAUAGGGCAGGAUUCCUUGGG
RNA transcript from Lacerta agilis (Sand lizard), 682 nucleotides. It is a transcript of the gene named galanin peptides-like, with no coding region annotated. The record is from RefSeq and is a predicted model, not a curated record. NCBI's taxonomy places the organism in Eukaryota, Metazoa, Chordata, Lepidosauria, Squamata, Lacertidae. The transcript has 6 exons.